UAUUUAGUUGCAUACCUUAUAUAUCAUCUUUUGUAUUUGAUGAUGUUAGUAUUAUGAAUGUGAUAAAUGAUGUAAAGAGAGAUUAUGUUGAAUGUAAAAGUUUAUAUUUUGGGAUAUCAUGUGAUGUAAAGGAAAUGAUGAAACGAUGUAAAAGAAUUUAAAUAUUGAAUGCAUGUAUGUGAUUAAAAGUAAUCAUAGUACUUGUAUGUUUGCAAUAGUUUAGAAUCUUUCACUUUUGGCUAUUGCUUGCCCUUGUACAAGUCAUAUAUGUUUA
RNAcentral lists this long non-coding RNA (274 nucleotides) under Ananas comosus (pineapple). RNAcentral describes it as "long non-coding RNA (ACOM_LNC023530)". The record is from RNAcentral. Lineage: Eukaryota; Viridiplantae; Streptophyta; Magnoliopsida; Poales; Bromeliaceae.